AGAGUAGGUCAAAUGAUCGCUGCCCCGUGCUUGCCGUUUUUCGGCGGCCGGGGGAGAGGAAAGUCCGAGCUCCAUAGGGCAAGGUGCUGGGUAACGCCCAGUCCCGGUGACGGGAAGGAAAGUGCCACAGAAAGCAGACCGCCUUGGGGAACGUUUGUUUCCCGAGGUAAGG
RNAcentral lists this RNase P RNA (172 nucleotides) under Deltaproteobacteria bacterium. RNAcentral's name for it is "partial RNase P RNA component class A". It matches the Rfam family "Bacterial RNase P class A", at positions 1 to 153 of the family's 367-position model. Rfam says of the family: Ribonuclease P (RNase P) is a ubiquitous endoribonuclease, found in archaea, bacteria and eukarya as well as chloroplasts and mitochondria. Its best characterised activity is the generation of mature 5'-ends of tRNAs by cleaving the 5'-leader elements of precursor-tRNAs. The record is from RNAcentral. Lineage: Bacteria; Pseudomonadati; Myxococcota; Myxococcia.